GGGCAAUGGCGGCAGCUACACAUGCAAGUCGAGCGGGGGAAGGUAGCUUGCUACCGGACCUAGCGGCGGACGGGUGAGUAAUGCUUAGGAAUCUGCCUAUUAGUGGGGGACAACAUCUCGAAAGGGAUGCUAAUACCGCAUACGUCCUACGGGAGAAAGCAGGGGAUCUUCGGACCUUGCGCUAAUAGAUGAGCCUAAGUCGGAUUAGCUAGUUGGUGGGGUAAAGGCCUACCAAGGCGACGAUCUGUAGCGGGUCUGAGAGGAUGAUCCGCCACACUGGGACUGAGACACGGCCCAGACUCCUACGGGAGGCAGCAGUGGGGAAUAUUGGACAAUGGGGGGAACCCUGAUCCAGCCAUGCCGCGUGUGUGAAGAAGGCCUUAUGGUUGUAAAGCACUUUAAGCGAGGAGGAGGCUACUCUAGUUAAUACCUAGGGAUAGUGGACGUUACUCGCAGAAUAAGCACCGGCUAACUCUGUGCCAGCAGCCGCGGUAAUACAGAGGGUGCGAGCGUUAAUCGGAUUUACUGGGCGUAAAGCGUGCGUAGGCGGCUUAUUAAGUCGGAUGUGAAAUCCCCGAGCUUAACUUGGGAAUUGCAUUCGAUACUGGUGAGCUAGAGUAUGGGAGAGGAUGGUAGAAUUCCAGGUGUAGCGGUGAAAUGCGUAGAGAUCUGGAGGAAUACCGAUGGCGAAGGCAGCCAUCUGGCCUAAUACUGACGCUGAGGUACGAAAGCAUGGGGAGCAAACAGGAUUAGAUACCCUGGUAGUCCAUGCCGUAAACGAUGUCUACUAGCCGUUGGGGCCUUUGAGGCUUUAGUGGCGCAGCUAACGCGAUAAGUAGACCGCCUGGGGAGUACGGUCGCAAGACUAAAACUCAAAUGAAUUGACGGGGGCCCGCACAAGCGGUGGAGCAUGUGGUUUAAUUCGAUGCAACGCGAAGAACCUUACCUGGCCUUGACAUACUAGAAACUUUCCAGAGAUGGAUUGGUGCCUUCGGGAAUCUAGAUACAGGUGCUGCAUGGCUGUCGUCAGCUCGUGUCGUGAGAUGUUGGGUUAAGUCCCGCAACGAGCGCAACCCUUUUCCUUACUUGCCAGCAUUUCGGAUGGGAACUUUAAGGAUACUGCCAGUGACAAACUGGAGGAAGGCGGGGACGACGUCAAGUCAUCAUGGCCCUUACGGCCAGGGCUACCACGUGCUACAUGGUCGGUACAAGGGUUGCUACCAGCGAUUGGAUGCUAUUCCAAAAGCCGAUCGUAGUCCGGAUGGGAGUUGGCACUCGAUCCCUGAAGCCGAAUCCCUAGAAUCCCGGAUCAAAAGCCCGGGGAAAACUUUCCCGGCCUUGACACCCCCCCCUCCACCUGGGAAUUUUUUGCCCCAAAAUUCUUCCCAAUCCAAAAGGGGGUUACCCGUGUGCCACGGGGGGGGGGAGGAAAACAAAAGAACCACCCCCCCC
RNAcentral lists this ribosomal RNA (1452 nucleotides) under Acinetobacter sp. RNAcentral describes it as "bacterial SSU rRNA". It matches the Rfam family "Bacterial small subunit ribosomal RNA". The record is from RNAcentral. Lineage: Bacteria; Pseudomonadati; Pseudomonadota; Gammaproteobacteria; Moraxellales; Moraxellaceae.